This 492-nucleotide ribosomal RNA is filed under the name uncultured bacterium. Its description in RNAcentral is "partial 16S ribosomal RNA". It matches the Rfam family "Bacterial small subunit ribosomal RNA", at positions 29 to 507 of the family's 1533-position model. The record is from RNAcentral.
AGCGAACGCUGGCGGUAGGCCUAACACAUGCAAGUCGAACGGCAGGACAGUGAGAUUGUGCUCUUAUGGGGGGGGAGUCGCGUAAGGGUGAGGAGUACAUCGUGAUCUAGAUUUUUGGGGGGGAUAAGGUAGGUAGGGUUACUCUAAUAUCGCAUCCCAUCUAGGGUGGAGGGGGGUGGAAAGUUUGACCGGUCGGGGAUGGACUCGCCGAUGUCGGAUUAGCUAGUUGGCGGGGUAAAGGCCCACCAAGGCGACGAUCCGUAGCUGGUCUGGGAGGAUGAUCAGCCACACUGGAACUGAGACACGGUCCAGACUCCUACGGGAGGCAGCAGUGGGGAAUAUUGGACAAAGGGCGCAAGCCUGAUCCAGCCAUACCGCGUGGGUGAAGAAGGCCUUCGGGUUGUAAAGCCCUUUUGUUGGGAAAGAAAAGCAGCAGGUUAAUACCCCGCUGUUCUGACGGUACCCAAAGAAUAAGCACCGGCUAACUUCGUG